Molecule: ribosomal RNA, 484 nt
Filed under: uncultured bacterium
Lineage: Bacteria
Description: partial 16S ribosomal RNA
Rfam family: Bacterial small subunit ribosomal RNA
Source: RNAcentral
AUUGAACGCUGGCGGCAGGCCUAACACAUGCAAGUCGAGCGGAUGAAGGGAGCUUGCUCCUGGAUUCAGCGGCGGACGGGUGAGUAAUGCCUAGGAAUCUGCCUGGUAGUGGGGGAUAACGUCCGGAAACGGGCGCUAAUACCGCAUACGUCCUGAGGGAGAAAGGGGGGGAUCUUCGGACCUCACGCUAUCAGAUGAGCCUAGGUCGGAUUAGCUAGUUGGUGGGGUAAAGGCCUACCAAGGCGACGAUCCGUAACUGGUCUGAGAGGAUGAUCAGUCACACUGGAACUGAGACACGGUCCAGACUCCUACGGGAGGCAGCAGUAGGGAAUAUUCGACAAUGGGCGAAAGCCUGAUGCAGCCAUGCCGCGUGUGUGAAGAAGGUCUUCGGAUCGUAAAGCACUUUAAGUUGGGAGGAAGAGAAGUAAGUUAAUCCCUUCCUGUUUUGACGUUACCAAAAGAAUAAGCCACGGCUAACUUCGUG